CCUACGGGCGGCAGCAGUAGGGAAUCUUCCACAAUGGGCGAAAGCCUGAUGGAGCAACGCCGCGUGGGUGAAGAAGGUCUUCGGAUCGUAAAACCCUGUUGUUAGAGAAGAAAGUGCGUGAGAGUAACUGUUCACGUUUCGACGGUAUCUAACCAGAAAGCAACGGCUAACUACGUGCCAGCAGCCGCGGUAAUACGUAGGUGGCAAGCGUUAUCCGGAUUUAUUGGGCGUAAAGGGAACGCAGGCGGGCUUUUAAGUCUGAUGUGAAAGCCUUCGGCUUAACCGGAGUAGUGCAUGGGAAACUGGGAGGCUUGAGUGCAGCAGAGGGGAGUGGAACUCCAGGUGUAGCGGUGAAAUGCGUAGAUAUAUGGAAGAACACCAGUGGCGAAGGCGGCUCUCUGGUCUGUAACUGACGCUGAGGUUCGAAAGCGUGGGUAGCAAACAGGAUUAGAUACCCCUGUAGUC
RNAcentral lists this ribosomal RNA (465 nucleotides) under uncultured bacterium. RNAcentral describes it as "partial 16S ribosomal RNA". It matches the Rfam family "Bacterial small subunit ribosomal RNA", at positions 338 to 795 of the family's 1533-position model. The record is from RNAcentral.